GGACCCGCACAAGCAGCGGAGCAUGUGGUUUAAUUCGAAGAUACCCGAAAACCUUACCAAGACUUGACAUCGCUUGAAUAACCGCGAAAUCGGUGAAGUAGAAGCAAUUUUACAAGCAGACAGAUGGUGCAUGGUUGUCGUCAGCUCGUGUCGUGAGAUGUUUGGUUAAGUCCAAUAACGAGCGCAACCCUUGUCAUUAGUUGCCAUCAUUAAGUUGGGAACCCUAAUGAGACCGCCGUAGAUAAUACGGAGGAAGGUGGGGAUGACGUCAAAUCAUCAUGCCUCUUACGUCUUGGGCUACACACGUGCUACAAUGGCAACUACAAAGAGCAGCAAUAUAGUAAUAUGGAGCGAAUCUCAAAAAGUUGUCCCAAUUCGGAUUGAGGGCUGCAACCGCCCUCAUGAAAUCGGAGUUGCUAGUAAUCCCAAAUCAGCAUGUUG
Molecule: ribosomal RNA, 441 nt
Filed under: uncultured Bacillota bacterium
Lineage: Bacteria; Bacillati; Bacillota
Description: bacterial SSU rRNA
Rfam family: Bacterial small subunit ribosomal RNA
Source: RNAcentral